CACAUCACAGAGAGUGAGUCCGAUGGGAUUUCACAGUGCCAGUCUCUUCGUUUCAUAGUCCAGCUGUGUCUCCAACCCUAACCCAGAAGAAGUGAAAAAAGGUUCCAAUUUGAAAUCACAGCUUUAGUAGGGAUCGUUUUGUUGGUGGGUCACUCACAAGUGCACUGCAAGUGUACGUGUAUUGUAAGUACUUGAAUUAAACAGUCAGGUAGGAAUUUUGCCACAAGAGAAGAAAAAACCCAUAAAGGGAAGAGGAAAGCCAUAAAGGAGAAGAAAAGAAAGCUUUUUGUUUGUUUGUUUGGUUGAAGGAUUGGAAAUGGAUGGAGGGUCAGGCCAUGGCUUUGUGCCUCCUUCGGCUUCUUUUGAUAAAUCUCGAGUUUUGGAUAUCAAGCCUUUGCGGAGUUUGGUUCCGGUGUUCCCUAAUCCGCCCCAAGCGCCCCCGUUUGUGUGUUCACCGCCCUUUGGGCCGUUCCCACCUGGGUUUACUCCAUUUUAUCCAUUUAGCGUGGCGCAAGGGCCUGAGAGUUCACCUGAGUUGAACCAACACAAAACCCCAACUGGGGCUACCAAUCAUGAAACCCCAAUAUCAGCUUCUGCUAAUUUGUUUAGGACUCCGCCCCAUUUUCCUGGGGUGGUGAAUGGAGAUGCGGAAACCUCCAGAGAAUAUGGUGUGCAAUUUCUAAAUGAAAAUUCGAAUAUGGGGGUAAAACAGGAUGGGUUCUUUGAUGACCCAAAGCGAGCAGCUCCUCAUUUGCGCGCCUCCAAUUCCUCUCGGAAGAAGGCUAAGAAAAGCAAAGAUGUGGAUAUUUCUUUAACAGUUGAUAAUGAGAAAGGAUCAAGUAAGAAUUUUGUUAUGAGAUUUGACUCACUUCAAUUGGAUGAUGGUAACAGGGAAAUGGUGAAUUAUGUCCUUAUGACAUUUGAUGCACUUCGAAGAAGACUUAGUCAAAUUGAAGAGGCUAAGGAAUCACCUGGUGGAGGUAUUAAACGUGCAGAUUUAAAAGCUGCCAAUAUUUUGAUGAGCAAAGGGGUUCGGACAAACAUGAGGAAGAGAAUUGGAGUUACUCCUGGUGUUGAGGUUGGUGACAUUUUCUUUUUCCGGAUGGAGAUGUGUUUGGCUGGAUUACAUGCUCAAUCUAUGGCUGGGAUUGACUACAUGUUUGUCAAGGGUGGUUUAGAAGAAGAGCCAGUGGCUGUAAGCAUUGUCUCAUCAGGAGGAUAUGAUGAUGAUGCAGAUGAUGCCGAUGUUUUGAUCUAUAGUGGCCAGGGUGGUAAUGUAAACAGGAAAGAUAAGCAAGUGGCUGAUCAGAAGCUAGAAAGGGGCAAUCUUGCUUUGGAUAGAAGCUUUCACCGAGCCAAUGAAGUAAGAGUUAUCCGAGGGGUGAAAGAUGUAGUUAAUCCAUUGUCAAAGGUCUAUGUCUAUGAUGGUCUUUAUACAAUCCAGGAGUCAUGGACGGAGAAAGGGAAGUCUGGUUGCAAUAUGUUCAAAUAUAAAUUGGUCAGAAUACCUGGGCAGCCUGGUGCUUUUGCUCAUUGGAAAUCAAUUCAGAAAUGGAAGGAAGGGUUCUCUUCAAGGAUUGGACUUAUUCUUCCAGACCUGACAUCUGGGGCAGAAAGUAUACCAGUUUCACUUGUAAAUGAUGUUGAUGAUGAGAAGGGACCUGCUCAUUUCACUUACUUUCCUACUCUCAGGUAUUCAAAAUCAUUUAACUUAAAACACCCUUCUUUUGGUUGCAACUGCCAGAACGCAUGCCUCCCUGGUGAUCUCAACUGCUCUUGCAUUCGGAAAAACGGUGGUGAUUUUCCAUAUACCUCCAAUGGGAUUCUAGUUGCCAGGAGGCCAUUAGUACAUGAGUGUGGUCCCACAUGCCCAUGCAUUCCUAACUGCAAGAACCGAAUGUCCCAGACUGGUUUGAAAGUACGCCUAGAAGUGUUCAAAACCAAUAAUAGAGGUUGGGGUCUCCGGUCAUGGGAUCCUAUCCGCACUGGUACUUUUAUUUGUGAAUAUGCAGGUGAAGUCUUGGACAAGGUUAAGGUUUAUCAAGAGAGGGAUGAAGGUGAAAGCAAUGAGUACCUCUUUGAUACAACCCAUGUUUAUGACAAUGCUUUCAAAUGGAAUCAUGAGCCUGGGUUACUGGAUGAGGAGCCAUCUGCUGAGCCUAAUGAGUAUUAUGAUAUCCCAUCUCCUCUAAUUAUAAGUGCAAAAUAUGUUGGAAAUGUAGCUCGAUUUAUGAAUCAUAGCUGCUCUCCUAAUGUCUUUUGGCAGCCGGUUCUAUAUGAACACAACAAUGAAUCCUUUCUCCAUAUUGCAUUUUUUGCAAUCAAACACAUUCCUCCUAUGACAGAGUUGACAUAUGAUUAUGGGAUGUUGCAAUCUGAAAAUUAUGAGGUCCAGAGUAACCAUACUCCAAAUGGGAAGAAAAAAUGCUUAUGUGGAUCGUCAAACUGCAGGGGCUAUUAUGGUUGACCAUUAAGAAAUGCACUCUGAUGGAGUCCACCAGAUUAAAAGUAGGUUCUUAUUUGGGUUGAAAGAAAAAAGGGGGAGUUUGCAAGGUUUCAAUUUGUGUUUAUGGGGCAUACCUUGAGGGGCACCUCAAGGCAAGGUGUUUUAUAGUAGUCUCGAAGCUAUAGCCCUAUUACAUGCAUAGUUGUGAAAGGCGCGCCAGGCUCGGGGCAGCUCGAUGCCACCCUCCGGCGCCUCGCCUGAAGGGAGGCAACGCCCCUUCACGAAGGCGCCGCUUAGGCGCGCAAGGCGCUCGCCUCCGGCAAGGCGCGAGGCGGUCGCCCGAGUUGCCUCCGACGGUCCGACCAGAAAGAUGAACUAAGGCAACAAACUCCUCAUGAGCCUGUUUACAAGUGCAGAAUUACUGAGCAGGUGCAUAUCAUCUCUUGGGUUACCAGCACCAAACUUGGUUAUAGCUAGGAUUAGACCUGCAAGCUUUGGUUUCUAAAAUUGUUAACUAUUUAGCAAAGUUAAUUGGUGCUUAAAAUAUUAACUUGUAAUACAGUAGAUGGUUGUUUCUAUCUAUGAGAAUAGCUGUUUUUAAUUGGUCUUAUAAUGGGUUUUCUGUUGUAAGAGUCCAGUUGUCUGGGAUUGUUAAUACCAAAGCUUCCCAAUGCUGUUUCAUCAGGUCAUGUAUGUAGUUGAUCAAAUCUUGACCACCUUGAUCGUGGGUUUUAGGGAGCUUAAUAUAUGUACAGGUUUAGGGUACUAAUUUGGCCAAUGUAUAUCACUCAUCUCCUCCCUCCCCUUGGAUUGGUCUUUUUGUAUUAAUUAUUGACUAAUGAAAUCUAUGACAAAAAGUUAAUGAAAUUCUCGGAA
This is an RNA transcript of Vitis riparia (riverbank grape), 3322 nucleotides long. It is a transcript of the gene named histone-lysine N-methyltransferase, H3 lysine-9 specific SUVH1-like, with no coding region annotated. The record is from RefSeq and is a predicted model, not a curated record. Lineage: Eukaryota; Viridiplantae; Streptophyta; Magnoliopsida; Vitales; Vitaceae. The transcript is spliced from 4 exons.